This 253-nucleotide ribosomal RNA is filed under the name uncultured bacterium. Its description in RNAcentral is "partial 16S ribosomal RNA". It matches the Rfam family "Bacterial small subunit ribosomal RNA", at positions 524 to 776 of the family's 1533-position model. The record is from RNAcentral.
AACGGAGGGUGCGAGCGUUGUUCGGAAUUACUGGGCGUAAAGCGCGUGCAGGCGGUCUCUUAAGUUCCGUGUGAAAUCCCCCGGCUUAACUGGGGAACGGCGCGGAAAACUGGGAGACUUGAGUACGGGAGAAGAGGGCGGAAUUCCCAGUGUAGAGGUGAAAUUCGUAGAUAUUGGGAGGAACACCGGCGGCGAAAGCGGCUCUCUAGACCGAUACUGACGCUCAUACGCGAGAGCGUGGGUAGCAAACAGG